GUGCGAAAACGUGGACCGGCGGUAGCUUCGUCGCUCUGCUUUGAACGGGAGAGAGAGCCGGUGGCGGCUUUGGGUGGUAACUGGCUCGAGCGAGGGGGCGAGCGGGGAACUUGCCUUUGGCUUUUUAAGCUUCGGAAACCGGACGUGCCGUGUCCUACCUAUAUCGCCCAGCCGUGGCAUGUUUUUCCCAGCAAGGACCGACACCAGUAUAAUUGCAGCCCAUAUCCUUUCAGUUUGGUUUUUAUUCUGUUUCGUGCCUCUUUCUUCUCGAAAGUGACCUGAUGAAGACAGGACGAACGCUUGCUUUGGGGAUGCAGUCCUGGUUUUCAGGGGCUUUCCCACAAAAGCGUUUUAGCGGGGAGCAAGCCUCGUGCUACGCCAUCGUUUAUGGAGUUGCCUGGCUUCACAUGAACCCGCUGUGCUGAGCUUACACCAGGCACACUCCGUGAGAACCUUAUGUGUGAAGCCUGCCGUGGCUGGGUUGUGUAACAUAUUGAGCUUCACGCUCUUAAAUUUUGGUCUAGAGUGCUGUAGGAAUGCAACCUGCGUGAUUAAUUUAUGAUUCACUGUGUUGUUAGGUUACAUUGAAUAAAUUAUGGUUAAUUGGAUGAGCAAUGUCAUGCAAACAGCCAGUCUGAAACUAUUCCAAUCUUUCCUCCUCUUUUCCUCUUGUUUUUUUUCUAGAAAUGAUGGAAGAAGUAAUAAGGGAAUAACAGGAAGGUUACAAAUGGAGGAUGACAACAUUUGCACGCACCCCAAAUUAAAUUCUUUAAAUGAGCUAUAUAGCUGUCCAGAAAGAAGCCUUAUCUAGAAGCCCCAACUCACCACAAAGAUGUCUUGUAGCUAUUACAUCUCUUCUUCCUUAGUUUUUUUCCCUGCAGUAAAAGAGUUGGAAAGAGUGAUGGGAAAACAGAAUUACAGAUGGAAGUUAAUACUGUCUGGGCCUCUGUGCAGUUCCUUAAAUGAGGCUAAAUAUUUACAUAAUAAAAGUCUCAUCUAGAAUAAGUUUGAUCAGAUAAAACAUUUAUUGCAAAAUGGUCCUUGCAGAAUUUUAUUAAAUAUCUAGACAGCAUCUUUCAUUAUAUUCCAUUCAUAUUUUUUUUUAAACCUAAAAAAUCAAUUAACAGAAUAUAACAAACAGAAUAGAAAUAGAAAUAACAGAAACAUGCUUUUUAUUGGCAAUAAUGCAAGCUCUUUAUCUGGAAGCAUCACCUGUUUAAUUGAGAAAAGUGUGGGAAAACAUCACCUGGACCCUUGCAAAACAUUUCAUGAAUGAGACAGGAUAAACUGUUAAAAUAGUUUAACAGUGUUCGGUUUCCGACUAGUUUCACUAAAUAGAAGUAGUUUCAUCACUUAACUUUUGCAUCUGCCUUUCCUUCAGGACAAUGUCCAUUGGUAAGCUGAUUUGUUAAUUGCAUUUGAACAUUCAGAUAUUUUGCACCAGGUCAUGCUGAUGCAAACAAGUUCUAUCCCCUCUUCACCCCACAGAUAAUACUAUGAAAAAUGUUCAGAGGGUAGAUUUAUUGAGAAAUGAAGGAUGUAAAACAAUACUAUUAGAUAAUUUGGCAUUCAGGCUAAGAGAAUGCAGUACAUUUGUUGGUUACCCAGAGAGCUCCAUGGUUAAACAAAAAUUUAAAGCUGGGUUCCCAUAAAUCAAGAUUCAGAAUCAGCUAUAGUAAGGAACCUCUUGCUCCAGGGGCCUUAUCUGUUAAUUUGCAAGUUGCUAUGAGCCAAAAUGUAUCCUGGAAGUAUCCAAGCACUGAUUCUUAGAGGAGAUGCUUAAAAAUAUCUGUGAUGCCGUAUGGCAGCUCUUCUCAGGAGUUUGGUGACCUUGCUGAAAGAGUAGUGGACUUCGAGAUUUGCCUGGCCCCUAAUGACAACAUCUAACCAAAACAGAGUCUGAGGAACAAUCCAGCCUUUGGGUCUGAUCCUAUUCUGCACUCAUGUUUUAGAUCAGACAAUGUAGAUGUUGCUGUAUUACAUGUCCUAUUAUUCCUCACCAUUGGCUAUACUGGUUAGGACAGCUGGAAGUUGUAAUUCAGCAACAUGUGGAAUGCCGUACGUUGCCUAUCUCUGUUCUAGAAGGCAGUGAUGCCUGGCUGAUGUUGAAGCUAAGCAUGGGCAGUUCUAGUUAGUGCAUGCAUGUGAGACCACCUAGGAAGUCAAAUCAUCCCAGAAGAAGGUCACAGCAAACUACUUCCAUGAUGACAAGAAAACUACAUAGAUUCCGUCUCCAGGAGUUGAGCUCAACUCAAGUGUGUCUUUAUUUUGUAUUUUUAUUUCUAGAUCCUACCUUGGAGUUAUCUAAUUAAAAGUGCUGCUCAGCACCAACUGAAAUAGGGUUUCCAAUAUGCAGCAUGCACCUACAAAACAAUUUUCUGUUCUGCUUUGUCUGUCUCCUGGUUGGUUGGUUUGUAACCUGGUUGGAGAUAAAGAGUGUUAGUUGAUUCCAUGUGCUAUCUAAUUGAAAUAAUGUUCACUUACUAUAAACAGAUAAAAAAUUAUACUUUCUUAAAAGGCAAUCUAGGGUUGUUGUUUUUUUCCAGACUGUGGACUUGUAACAAAUGCUGUUUUCCUUAAAUUAAUACAUUCAAGCCGUGCAAUGUUAUAGGUCAUGCUGGUAACUGCUUAGGAUUGCAGCCUGAGCAAAUAUGUAUAUAAAACACCCUAAAAAAUGGAGCCAGUUUUAUUCGGAUGGUUUUUUGCAUGUGUGUUUGAUCCUACUUACUUGAGAUUCCCAGACAUCCCAUAUUCAGUCCACACUCGCUUCAGCAAUUAUGCCCAUUGUGCCUCCACCCAAGGAAAUACCUUUCGGGCUGGGUUAUAUGGUUAAUUCAGGCAAACAAUAGGCUGCAAAACAGGAGUUCAGCUCAGAUGAAGUUAAUUGCUUUUAAUUUCUAAAUAUAACUUGCACUGUGAGUUUAAUUAUGAAGGGGGGGUUUAUAUAUAUAUUUUCAUAGGUGAAAAUGAUUACACCUGUGAGAUGCUUCACUUGUGGUAAAAUAGUUGGAAAUAAAUGGGAGGCAUAUCUUGGCCUUUUGCAAGGAGAAUAUACAGAAGGGUGUGCAUUCUCCUCAAUUCCUGCACUUUCAUAACUAUUUUAUAAGAUAAGUAAGAAUUUGAUCAAUAUAACAAUUUAGGAUGGAAUGUAAUAUUUAAAUAUAUUAUUUCCAUGCCGCUGAAUGAAAACGUUGCUAACGAAAAAUGCUGUGGGUUUUAGUUUUAUGAGGGCUUCAGUUGAUAGCUUAUACAGGAUAAGGCAUUGCUUAGCUGCUCGCUUGUAGUGUCCCAUCAGAAGUAUGUUUCUGAGUAACAUUUUAGUUUAUUAUAUCACCAAAAAAAUCAAGUAAUUUGAUUGGUUUUUAAAUAUUAAUCUUGUUCCAGCAGCUCCUAAUAUUGAUGUGCUCUUUUUUUUAAAAAAAAAAAAGCUUGCUUAUUUGGGCAGUCAUAUACCACUGUUUUUCACAUAGUGGUAAUUAAAUAGCAGGUUAUGUUGAAUCUCCAUUAUAUACUAGAAAAGGCCUGAGAAAAGUUUCUUUCAUUGACUGACUGGUAUUUGAGAAGCAUUGUCAAUUAUUCUCUUUUGUGCUAUAUCUACCAUUUUCCUUAUCUUCGUAGAAUUGUUUCUGGUUGCAGUUAAUCAUGCUGUGAUAGCCAUUGAUUUUUCAUUGCAAAUACAGAAUUGGAAAUUACGGAUCUAAAGCCUGAGAUUAAAUAGUAUAUUACUACAAUAUUUGCAUGAUAAAUAUGUCUGAGUAUAUGCCUUGAGUAUAAAUCUGAUUCUCUUGCAAUUUAUUGUAUGAUUUUAUAUUAACCAAGUGAGCAUACAAUGCAUAAUUGAAUUCCUUCUAACAUCAGAGUUGUCUGUAGUAACUAACUGUCUUCUGACAAUUUUCAGGACACAUAAGUAUGUCAGAUAUUGUUAAAAUCAUUUCUUGUAAUAAAAAAAGGUCAUGUCAGCUGAAUAAGCUAGUUGUCCAGAGAUGCAGAAAUUCUGCAGUAUUUGGAAAUGCUACUUUUCACUUAUGUUGAGUUUCUUCAGAUAGCACUGACUAGAAACAAUAUUGAAGAAAAGAACAUAAUCACUUCUACUUAAUUGUUUAGCUCCAUAUUAUCAGAUGUAGGGUUUUUAAAAGCUGGAGUAUGGGUUCAUAAAAAUCAGUAUAUGAGAAUUCUUUUGCAGUACUCAGCUUUUCUGCAGUUUUUGUGGAAAUUAAUGUGUUCAUAUGCAUAUCUGUUCAGAAAAAAACUCCUUGGAGUUCAAUAAAACCAUCUCCAUAUAAGCUUAUACAACUUUGCAGCCUAUGUAUGCUGGAUUUUUCAUCAAAACACUACUAAAAUGAAUACAAAAAUUAUGAUAUACCACUAUUAAAAUGUUUAAUGAUCUAUUUUUAGUUUUAUUGUUGUUUGAAUAGAUUUGAGGUUGAACGCUAUGAAGAGGAUUUCAUCUGAUGUGGAAAUCUAGAACUUGUUGGGGAAGCAAAGAUUGUCAUUUUAUGUUCAUCAGUUCUCUGCUUAUAUUUUUUAGAUUCCACUUACUUGAUCUUCUUCCUUUUAGAUAAAUACAAUAUUGAACAGUUGACAAGGAGAAAAAGAGGAUGUUGCUGAAAACUGCUAGAAGCCAACACUGUGUGACUUUUGUGAUGGUGAAUCCCUAAGCAUUGGGAUGGAAAGAAAAUAAGCAAAUCAUAGAUCUAAUCGUUUCCCACAUUUUCUUUUUACAUUUUUCUGGAGGCCAGAAGCCAUCUUCUACAUCUGGCGUCUUUGUUAAGAAGUGAUGCCUUGGAUGCUUUGGGUCUGAAAAGAUACUGCUGUCGCAGAAUGCUGCUUGCCCACAUGGACCUGAUUGAAAAGCUCCUGAACUAUGCCCCACUGGAGAAAUAAAUGGGAAGAAUUUAUGGUGCUACAAGUACAUGAACCAAAGUUUUUACAAUCCUUAAGCCAAACUACUGGGGUUACAAAUGCAGAUUAUGUUCAGAGGGAAUUUCCUUUUGGGGGAUAUCCUACCACCUUAGCCACUUAGCAUCCCCAAAUAAAUGACUUAAUAAUGAAUUCCAGCUAGACAGCUGGGGACUGUACUUUUAAUUACAGCAGGAAUCUUGUCAGAUUCUGAGCAUAUUAGAAUCUCAUGGAUUUUCAAACAUGGCAAUUUGAAGAAACACAAACUUUGACUUAC
Long non-coding RNA from Python bivittatus (Burmese python), 5176 nucleotides. RefSeq lists it as uncharacterized. The record is from RefSeq and is a predicted model, not a curated record. Lineage: Eukaryota; Metazoa; Chordata; Lepidosauria; Squamata; Pythonidae.